CCUACGGGGGGCAGCAGUAGGGAAUUUUCGUCAAUGGGCGCAAGCCUGAACGAGCAAUGCCGCGUGAACGAGGAAGGUCUUCGGAUCGUAAAGUUCUGUUGAAGGGGAAAAAGAGCGGAGAGAGGAAAUGCUUUCUGAUUGAUAUUACCCUUCGAGGAAGUCACGGCUAACUACGUGCCAGCAGCCGCGGUAAUACGUAGGUGGCGAGCGUUAUCCGGAAUGAUUGGGCGUAAAGGGUGCGUAGGCGGCCUGCUAAGUCUGGAGUGAAAGGUACCGGCUCAACCGGUACAGGCUCUGGAAACUGGCGGGCUAGAGAGCAGGAGAGGGCGGUGGAACUCCAUGUGUAGCGGUGAAAUGCUUAGAUAUCACGAAGAACUCCGAUUGCGAAGGCAGCCUACUAAACUGCCACUGACAUUGAUGCUCGAAAGUGUGGGUAUCAAACAGGAUUAGAUACCCGUGUAGUC
This 464-nucleotide ribosomal RNA is filed under the name uncultured bacterium. Its description in RNAcentral is "partial 16S ribosomal RNA". It matches the Rfam family "Bacterial small subunit ribosomal RNA", at positions 338 to 795 of the family's 1533-position model. The record is from RNAcentral.